AGUCAUCGCGCUGAGUUUGCGCCUGUUGUUCACGCAGAUUAUGAAGCAGCGGAGCUCAGCAUCAUCUCUGGCAUUCUCAUCUGGAUGUAUACAUGGCAUCACUGUGGAGUCCAAUGUUUCUUGCCUUGUUUUCUUUUAUUUUCCUGCAGAUAUCUUCGUCUUAUGAGCAGCUGUCUGCCUUUGUGGAAGGGAGCUCAGAUGAGCCACCAUCUCAAGACAUCAGUCGAGAAAAUGGCGUCGGCGGUGAUGCUUCGCCGUUUGAAGUUCGUCUCAGACGAGCUCUGCAGCCGUAUGGACGGCACCCGCACGCUCCAUCACGCAGGAGAUUGCUGCAGAUUCCAGGAGCGAUGCCGUACUCUCCUCUGAGCGUGGCGCACAACGGAAAAACCUGCAUCCUCUUCAGAGCCCGCAAACUGGCCAUCAGGUACAGGAAUCACAGUUUAGUGGACCUCACGGACAGAACCUUCGGCCCAGAUGCACCAGUGGACACCAAAGGGUCUUUCUGCAGUAAAGAUAAAGCCAUACUCAAUCUACGUUAUGGGGAUGUAGAAGACCUCAGAGGCCUCUCCAUCAGGCUUCAAAUGUCAAACACGUUCUACGAGUCGGCCGGGCAGAACUGGUUCACUCUCGAUAACGUUUACAUCCACUACAACUGGACAUACGAGGCCACGUUUAACGCCACAGAUGUGUACGCGCCCUCCAUCAACUCCUACCACUGCCAGCACGUGAGCAGUCUCCAGAAGUACGACACGCUGCUGGUGCCCAGCGCCGGCACGGACCACGCCGCAAACUGGCACAUAACGUUCACAGACUUCCAGAUUCAAGCGUUCAACCUUCAUUCCAGUAAGUUUGCGUCGGCCAGCGACUGCGCCACGUUCUUCACCCCGGCGAUCCUCAUGGGUCUGAUUACGUCUCUGAUCCUGCUGCUGGUGUUGGCGUACGCUCUGCACAUGGUGGUGCAUCUGAAGCACAUCGACCGGUACGAGGAGCACAAGACGACCAUCUACUUCCCUCGCAGCACAGAAGCCGAGUGCACAGAGAAGACCAGCUCCUAGAGUCCCUUCAGAGGUCAACACAUGGACAGUUCUCUGACCGGAGGCAGAUUUGACUGGAGCUGUACGUAGGAAAGGUCCCGUCCGUUUGGGACUGACUGCACCACGGCAGUGACGUCAUUGUGGUGGGACAGUGGAAGUCCGAAUGCUGCUCCUCUGUGAGCUGUCACAGGUUCUUCAGUGUUACAGAGGAUUUCUGCCAGAUCUCACCAACAACCCUGAAUCUGAAAGGAGUAUUAACAUUUAGCGUCACGGGAGUCUGAAGAUCUUGGGAUAUUGGAAUGAUACCUGAAAUAGCACAAUACCCAAAUAUAUCUUACAUUUGCUUUAUGUGUGUUUUCUUCUGUUUAACUGAUAAUGACCAGUUAAAUACUGACGCCUCUUUAAAGUCAACAUGAAAUGUCUGCAAUCUAUUUACACUUUUGGAAUCGCAAGGCGGAUUGGUAAAGGUGUUUGUUGAAUGGCAGGUGAUUGGAGGGAUGGUAACAUGCACAGGCAAUUAACUUUGAAACACAAACAGGUGUUAAAGGUACAGUUCACCCAAACAUGAACAUUCUGACAUCAUUUACUCACCAUCGUGUGGUUCAGAGUCUGUAUGUCACUCUUUCUUCCGUGAAACACAAAAGAAGAGAUUUUGAGAAAUGUCUUGGUGGUUUUGUGUUCAUACAAUGGAAGUCAAUGUUGUUUGGUCGUCAACGUUCUUCAAAAUAUCUUCUUUUGUGUUCCGCAGAAGAAAGAAACUCGUACAUGUUUGGAUCAGCUUAGAUUUCAUGUUGACUGUAAAGUUACAAACUGUGAAUAAAUCAUUAUGAUGUAAUAUAGUAUUUAAAUUGCCAAUCAAUUCUGAAUGACUUGCCAGCAAGUUUGUAUGAAUUCUACAAAUGUAAUGCGUUUCUGAUUGGUCCAAAAUAUAUUCUGAAUGCAACUUUAAAGCAUCAUCGGUGCUGACCAGCUAAAAGUCUUAUAAUAAUAAAAACAUAUUGUGUAAUAUUUUCAAUACAGCGUGUAACCAGCACUUACAACAUGUAAUAAAAAAACUCCCUUGAGGAUUUGCAGCUAAUGACACUAUUUUAUCCAGAACUGAUGUUCAUUUGAGAAGGUGUAUUUUCAAAUGGUUGUGUUUUAUUUUUGUGUAGAUUGUAUGUUGAGUGAUUUUUGUUUUUGAUUUCUUGUUUAAUAUUUAUUAGUCUUUUGUGUAUGCUUUAAAGCUAAACCUUGGGCAGUGGUGAAGAUACACAUGGAUUUUUAACCAACACCCAUUAAAGCUAAAACAACAAUGCAAGCAACAUGACAUUUGUUGUGUAGUUAACAUAUGUUAAAUGAAAAGUAAAGAGUUUUAUGGCUAGAGAUAUUUCAGUGCCAGAAUAAUCAGAUGGUUUGCAUUGGGGCAUUAGGGACCCCCCAUAAGAAGUAAAAAUAGACUUAGGGGUCCCUCAGAUAUUUUUAUUUGAGUAAAAAUGAUGAUGACAAAUGAAUCAAAUGACAAAUUCAUGCAAUGGAUAUGGUAAAUUUCGUGAAUUCAUUAUUUACAAAAAUGUAUAUUAAGGUUGUGUAUGGGCUCGUUGUCAUAUCUCUUAGAAUUGUAAAGGCCCCGCCCCACGUCUAAACACGCUAGUAAGCGCAGGACAUCGUUGACAUGAGUGCUUGAUCGGCGUCGCUCCGGUGGAGCUCACUUCAGAUAAAACAUGGAGAAUAAUAAACCUCCACUCGCAGUCGGGAAGAGGAAGCUUCUACUUUUUUGAGGGGUGUGGUUGAUGUUGAAAGUGUCUCUGUAUUGAACUGCACUGAAAAUGAAAUGACAAUGGAAUGGAAUAAAGUGCACAACAUCAACAAUUACGUCCUGGUGAUAUUGAUUGAUAAUGUACACAAUUUCAUCAGUGGGUCUGAUAACGUUUCUGUAGUCAGACAUACGGUUUCCUCUCUCCAUCCUGGAUGGGUGCACCGCUUUAUACUCCGCGCUGUAUUAAACAGAGAAAUGAGCGAUGGAUAUCUUUUCCAUGCAGCUACAGCUCCACAAAAUGUGGACGGUGUGACUGUACAACGUCAAAAGGAUACAAGUAUAACGCUGAAGUUCAGCGACACAAAGCAUGUCUUGGGAAACAGGCAUUUUUAUAUUCUACAAUACGGAGAAAUCGAGUCUUACACGGGCCUACAUAAUGAUGACCGUAAUUAUGACGGUUUCAUUUAUCAUUGUGGUCCCAAUACUGAACAUUUCUUAGAGUUUUUUUAUCAUUAUUAUGAAGACACAUAUACAGUAACAUCUCUCUCUCCUGGAACCAAAUACAACUUCACUCUCUACUGGGUUUUGAAUGGUGUGAGAAGCCGUGGAUAUGAGUUCACUGAUGAGACCACUCCAUCAAAAGUCACCGGCCUUAACUGUGAGUAUUCGUGGAUGGGGAGAGCUAUAACUCUGCAUUGGGAUGCUCAGUUUGGAUUGAGAUCUGAAUUUGAGGUUCGGGUGAACAGAGGAAUUCCAGAACAGGUGAAUGUCACGAGAUAUCAGAUCGAUGGUGCGCCGUCAGCUGUACAGUACUUCACUGAGAAGCAGUCCAGUGUCAAUCAAGUGUCAAACCAACACAUCAGGCGCGUUUUCAUUAUACUGUUCAUUACUGAUUACAGGAUGAGCCACACAGCCUGAUAUCUAAAAAACCAACACACAAGAAACCUGUGGUUAAUGGACCUUGUGAUGUUUUUUGGGAGAACGGGUGAAUGAGCGGAACGCUGCUGAUCAGCCACUGGAUCGGAUCUAUGUAAACACAGCUACUCGCAACACUCCAGAAAAUCACAAUUCGAGUGUUGAAUCAGAGAGUAAAGACACCAGCGGGGAGAUCAAUCAUUAUGAAGCCCCUGAUAUGACCGUAUAAAUACUACAUUUACAUUUAGUCCUUUUAUCCAAAGCGAAUUACAAAGAGUUCAGGGAGCAAUAAGCGAUAUGUCAUACAGGAGCAAUAAUAGAAUAGGUGCCAAUACAAAGUUACUAGUUUCAACAAAAGCUAGAACACUACCUACUAUUGUAGUACUUCUUUUAUAUUCAAUCAUUUAAAUCUACUAGUCACGUUUACUUCGGCUCAGUUUAAAGAUUUACAAAUGUCCUGAUGUUAAAAUAUUAAAAUCCUGCUCACAGUACUUACCAUUGUUGUUUUAUAAAGAGGCUUCUGCGUGAUCAAAAAAGUAGAACUACAGAAGCAUGAAGGAAAAACCUCUCUGGUUUCCAUGUUAAAAUAUAACUUGCAUUUGACAGACACUCCUUUUGGAAGGUUUGAUACAAAGAUGAAUCUCUGUAUUUGCACACGUGUGAAUAUGACAAGAAUAUGUAUUUUAUGUACAUAAAAACUAUAUUUCUACUGCUAAGAUCGCAUUGGGGUUAAAAAAAACUUAAGGUGUUGUUUUA
RNA transcript from Triplophysa rosa, 4443 nucleotides. It is a transcript of the gene named ATPase H+ transporting accessory protein 1 like a, with no coding region annotated. The record is from RefSeq and is a predicted model, not a curated record. The transcript is spliced from 11 exons. Lineage: Eukaryota; Metazoa; Chordata; Actinopteri; Cypriniformes; Nemacheilidae.